GAUGAACGCUGGCGGCGUGCUUAAUACAUGCAAGUCGAACGAUGAGGCCCAGCUUGCGGGGCGCAUUAGUUACGAACGGGUGAGUAACAAGUGAGUAACUUGCCCUUCUCUCUGGGUUAAACAUGGUAGAGUGGGUCUAAUACUUGAUAUAAAUUAUCAUCACCUGGUGGGGGGUGGAGAGAUGGAUUGUUAUUGGAUGGAUUGGAGGCCUAUCAGCUUGGUGGUAGGGUGAUGGCUGACCAAGGCGAUGCCGGGUAGACGGCCUGAGAGGGUGACCGGCCACACUGGGACUGAGGGACGGACCAGACUCCUACGGGAGGCAGUAGUGGGGAAUAUUGCACAAUGGGCGCAAGCCUGAUGCAGCGACGCCGCGUGCGGGAUACCGGCCUUCGGGUUGUAAACCACUGUCAGUAGGGCAGAAGCGAGAGUGACGGUACCUGCACAAGAAGCGACGGCUAACUACGUG
This 466-nucleotide ribosomal RNA is filed under the name uncultured bacterium. RNAcentral describes it as "partial 16S ribosomal RNA". It matches the Rfam family "Bacterial small subunit ribosomal RNA", at positions 28 to 507 of the family's 1533-position model. The record is from RNAcentral.